CGUUGAUGACUCGGUCUUGGGAGGGAAGAGAGGCCUCUUUGGCCCCCACUUCCUCCUUCCCUCCUCUGCCUUUGCCUGGAUGUCAGGGGGGCAGACUGGCGUCUGCGCUGGGCUUGGCCUCAGGAUGCUGUCACGCUCUCUCUGCUCUAUUGGCGAGCUGGUGUCUCGGGAGGAGCCCUUAGGUUUUCCUGCGCUUCCGUUUGGUUGUUGCCGUUUCUGGGGCCAAGGAUGGGACCCAGCGGGGGAGUGUCACCACUCUGCUGCCAGAGAGAAAUCAGGUGCUGUGGGAGGAAGAGGAAUGUGGGCGAGCUGUGACACCGAUGAGAAGGGUCUCCUCUUCCCCCACAUUACACCUUCCCCUUUCGACACACACAAAAACACAGCUGUGUUGUCUGAGCCCUCUGGGGCCACAAGAACUGGGCUGCUCCCUCUUCCACGGGUGGCACAGCAUUUCUGAAGGCAGAGAUCCCUACCGCUGGCUCCUACGGCUUCUAUUUGCCCCUGCAGACCCACUCUCCAUCCUUCUCCACCCUGCUCACCUCUAUGGACCCUUAGAUGGGCUCCUUUGCCCUCUGGCUUCCCAUUGGGUUCAGCCAACAGGGACCCCCAGCAGGAGAGUGGAGGGAGGGAGGAGAGUGAGGCUGGGGUGUUUCUUCCCUGGCUCCCUUCUGCCGGCUGACCAAAGGUCUCAGUCUCAGUCGGCCAGCCCACGUCAGGACUCUCUCUCUGGGUGACUUUGCCAUCCCUGCCCUUGCCCCUGGAGCCCCGGGAUGGUAACACAGUUCCAGUCUCCCCGCAAAUCAGCCUGAGCGAACUGCACUGCCUCUGUGGGUCCCCCACGCUCUGCCCACACCUUGGCAAACUUCUUGAUGGAGCCGUCUGCACUCAUUUCCUCUGCUUCUUCAGCAUUUCUGUCCCUGCCCCUCCACAUGAGGCUUACCAAUGACCUCCCAGAAGGCGGCUCCAAAGGAUCCAUCUCAGAUUCGAUUCCCCAGACUGAGGGAUCACCAAAAGCAACCACGUGCCUCCUUUCCUGAGCCAACAUGAAGAUGACCUCCCAAACUGCCCCCUGGAGGGGCUUUGGGCCUUGGAAGCCAGGAAAGUGAGCUGAGAUGUGAUGUUGUCCUGACACACCUGCCUGGGUCAGUUAAAAUCAAUGGCCAGGGGCCGGCCCAGUGGCGGAGUGGUUAAGUUCAUGCGCUCUGCUGCACCGGCCCAGGGUUUCGCUGGUUCGGAUCCUGGGCACGGACACAGCACUGCUCAUCAGGCCACGGUGAGGCGGCGUCCCACAUGCCACAACUAGAAGGAACCACAACUAAAAUAUACAACUAUAACUGGGAGGAUCUGGGGAGAAAGAGCAGGAAAGAAAAAAAAGAUUGGCAACAGUUGUUAGCUCAGGUGCCAAUCUUUAAAAAAAAGAAAAAUCAAUGGCCAAUCAGCAGGCACCUCUGCCUGGAGCCCACCUGCAUCCCGUCAGCUCCUCUCUGUUCUGAAGACUUCUUUUCCUUCCCAUCAGAGAACGUCUCCCUCCAAAAUCUAACAGGCCAUUCACUCGAUAGAACCAGUCUCUUCUUCUCCACCGCAGACAACACGCUCCAGUUCUGGCCUCAUCAUCUGUUACCUGGCCUGUUAUUACAGACCCUUCACAGCUCCCCUUGGCUCCCAACGCUCCCUCCACUCCAUCCUCUGCUCAGAGCAGCCAGAGAGAUUGUCCUGAAGCACAAAUCGAAUCCCGGUAUCACCCGUCUGCUUGGAGCCAUCCCCUGCCAGUGCCAGGCCAAACGUUUUUCGCACGGCAGAAUGUGGUCCUAGGGAACUAUUCAUCCUUGUCUCUUUCCCUUCGGUCCAAAAACAUGCACAGAUUUCUCCCUCAUCCCCUAUCCUCUUCUCCUUUAUAGGCAAACGUCUUGACCCCCAUCUCCAGCAGAGUUCCCGCUCCCUCCUCUGAGCCCCACACUGCCUCUUUCUUUUCUCUGUUUCUUUGUCAGUUUCUCCCCCUGUCUGGAAGCCUGAGACGGUGUCUAACGCGUCUUUGUAGCCGAGGGCCCAGGACAAGGCCUGGCAGAAGGAGUCAUUUAUUAAUUUAAAAGAUAUU
RNAcentral lists this long non-coding RNA (2095 nucleotides) under Equus asinus (donkey). Its description in RNAcentral is "lncRNA (ENSEASG00005032412.1)". The record is from RNAcentral. Lineage: Eukaryota; Metazoa; Chordata; Mammalia; Perissodactyla; Equidae.